This is an RNA transcript of Hevea brasiliensis (rubber tree), 1708 nucleotides long. RefSeq lists it as uncharacterized. The record is from RefSeq and is a predicted model, not a curated record. The transcript has 13 exons. Lineage: Eukaryota; Viridiplantae; Streptophyta; Magnoliopsida; Malpighiales; Euphorbiaceae.
CAAACAAAUAUUCAAAAGAAUAGGGUAUGAUUGACAAAAUAAACAAUUAGGGUUUAAGGUUUCGGCAUCCGCAUAAUUUCUGCCUUGUUUGUCUCUCAAAGGAAGUGAACUUCAACGGAACAGUCAUUAACAAUGCCGCGAACUACCACCGUAGAGUGCCCUGGUUGCCCUCCGCUUCGAGCCUUAACUUUCGACGCACUUGGUCUCAUUAAAGUGAUUGAGUCUCGUGGCGAUCGAGGAAUCCCUCAGGUGGUAGAGAGAUGGGGUAAUCCAGACUCCUCUAAAUGCGUGCUUGCUGUUUCUAUGGAUGAUAGUAAAAGAGAUCCUUUAUUAGCUGUUGCAAGAAAAAGCAGUGUGAUUGAACUUCUCAAUCCACUUAAUGGGGAAAUUGGCGUUUCAAUUUCUAAUGUUGGUGAUGCUGGUACUCAACCUGAGGAUGAUGCUGUUAUUGGUUUGCAUUUAUUCAAAAGACACAGAGUAUCUGGAUCAUGCACUUUGCUUACAUGUUCAACAAAAGGAAAUGCAAGCAUGAGGUCCAUUGAAGUUACCAGUUCAACAGUAGAUAAUGCCAGUACUGUUGCCCCUAGAACCUGGAAAGUUUCUGCUUCUGGGAAUAUUUUAUGUUCUAAAGUGGAUGGAAGUGAAAACUAUGCUUUAUUUGGAGGGAAAGCUGUGGAAGUCAAUCUAUGGGAUCUUGAGAAGUGUUCCAAAAUUUGGACUGCAAAACCUCCUCCUAAAAACGGCCUUGGUAUUUUUACUCCGACAUGGUUUACAUCCGCAACAUUUCUGACUAACGAUGAUCACCGUAAAUUUGCAGCUGGAACCAACAGCCAUCAGGUUCGUCUGUAUGAUACUUCUGCUCAGCGCAGACCUGUAAUUUCAUUUGAUUUCUGUGACACCCCUAUUAAAGCAGUCACUGAAGAUCAAGAUGGCCAUACAAUCUAUAUAGGAAAUGGGUCUGGUGAUCUUGCUUCUUUUGACAUACGCACAGGGAAAUUGUUAGGAUGCUUUUUGGGGAAGUGUUCUGGAAGCAUCAGAUCCAUUGCAAGGCAUCUGGAGCUCCCCGUGAUAGGAUCUUGUGGUCUUGAUAGCUAUUUGCGCUUGUGGGAUAUAAAGACACGACAACUUCUUUCAGCGGUUUUCCUGAAGCAGCAUCUUACUAAUGUUGUUUUUGAUUCCAAUUUUACUGACAAAGAAGUUGCAGUGGAAGCACAGAAUGCGAAUGAGAUCCAAAAUGAAAACGAGAUGGGAACAAUGCCCCAAAAAAGAAGGAAAGCAUCUACAGAAAAAGGAGGCAAAAGGAAGGCAUCUAAAGAAAAGGAUGGAAGCAAGAGGUUAAAAUCCAGUGAAAAGAACCAAUGAAAGAAAGUGAGAUUAGUGACAAUUCCUGAUUACCUGCUUAUGCUAUUAACAAGGUGAAGAAUGGGAUCAUGCAUUGUGAUUAGAUGGUGCUACGACAGGAUCACAUUCACAUGGCAAUGUUUAUGCAGCAUUUUUGCGAUAUAAAUUCAAAUCAGUUUAAAGAGGAUGACCAGAGACGAUACAGGUCAGUAGCUUCUAUUUGAUCUUCUUGCUGAAUCAACAAGUUAAGUGAACUCUUUAAAAAAAGGUAACUGAUAGCUGUACAGUUGUAUUUUGUAUUAAUUCUGUAAUAUGAAUUGUUCACCGUGUAAUUUUUUUAUUAUUUAACAAAAAUAAUCUCUACCAA